UACGGAGGAUCCGAGCGUUAUCCGGAUUUAUUGGGUUUAAAGGGUGCGUAGGCGGCGUUGUAAGUCAGUGGUGAAAGUUUGCGGCUUAACCGUAAAAUUGCCAUUGAUACUGCAGUGCUUGAGUAUAGAUGAGGUGGGCGGAAUGUGUCAUGUAGCGGUGAAAUGCAUAGAUAUGACACAGAACACCGAUUGCGAGGGCAGCUCACUAAACUAAAACUGACGCCGAGGCACGAAAGCGUGGGGAUCAAAC
RNAcentral lists this ribosomal RNA (250 nucleotides) under uncultured bacterium. RNAcentral's name for it is "partial 16S ribosomal RNA". It matches the Rfam family "Bacterial small subunit ribosomal RNA", at positions 524 to 773 of the family's 1533-position model. The record is from RNAcentral.